CAGCGCUCCAGCGAUCUGGCUGCAACAUCUGUCACCCCAUUGAUCACCAGGGUUGAUUCGGCUGAUCUAGCUGGCUAGGCGGGUGUCCCCUUCCUCCCUCACUACUUCAUGUGCCACCCUCCCGAAGCUGCGUGCUGGGUCGAAGAGGCCCGCCUUCCCCGAAUAGAGACGGACUGGUCUUUGGUCGAGGGUAUAUGAGUAGCUGUGUUCACUCCCCUGCUAGAACCUCCCAAAUGAGCUCUCAAGGUCAAAACUAUUUUUUAAAAAUUU
Molecule: small RNA, 270 nt
Filed under: Sorex araneus (European shrew)
Lineage: Eukaryota; Metazoa; Chordata; Mammalia; Eulipotyphla; Soricidae
Description: 7SK RNA (ENSSARG00000017817.1)
Rfam family: 7SK RNA
About the family: 7SK was discovered as an abundant small nuclear RNA in the mid-70s but a possible function has only recently been suggested.
Source: RNAcentral